GAUGAACGCUGGCGGCGUGCUUAACACAUGCAAGUCGAACGAUGAUCCCAGCUUGCUGGGGGAUUAGUGGCGAACGGGUGAGUAACACGUGAGUAACCUGCCCUUGACUCUGGGAUAAGCCUGGGAAACUGGGUCUAAUACCGGAUACGACCAUCUGGCGCAUGUCAUGGUGGUGGAAAGCUUUUGUGGUUUUGGAUGGACUCGCGGCCUAUCAGCUUGUUGGUGGGGAAUGGCCUACCAAGGCGACGACGGGUAGCCGGCCUGAGAGGGUGACCGGCCACGCUGGGACUGAGACACGGCCCAGACUCCUACGGGAGGCAGCAGUGGGGAAUAUUGCACAAUGGGCGCAAGCCUGAUGCAGCGACGCCGCGUGAGGG
This 377-nucleotide ribosomal RNA is filed under the name uncultured bacterium. RNAcentral describes it as "bacterial SSU rRNA". It matches the Rfam family "Bacterial small subunit ribosomal RNA", at positions 28 to 407 of the family's 1533-position model. The record is from RNAcentral.